GUGGCAGCUACAGGGUCACUGAUGUCCCCAAUGGAUGUGGCUCCUCUCCAGCAACAACCCCCCCACCCGCCCUGGCAAGCUGUCCGCUACAGUAUAUCCUCCACCCAUUUCUCAGGCAUUCACAGCGGGCACGGCGAGGCAAGGAGAUGGGCCUCGGGGCCGCAGGGCCUCGUGACCCACUUACAACCCCCCCGAGACUGAUCGGCAUCGGCCUGCCAGUUACAGUUAUGUAACUGAUGCUGGGAAAAGCAAGGAGAAGAAUUACAAGAGUAAAAAAAAAGAAAGGAGUCCAAUGUCUACCAGUGAAGGGGCUCGUCAGAGAGGAUCAUCCCAUCAGAUGGGAUCUGGGCGGGAUGUCGGAUGCUCACACUAAUACCACGAUUCUGCUGCUGUUACACGGUUUAUGAAUCAGCCCCCACUGAGAGACACCUACGCCCAUCACUGCGGGCAAGCACCAUCCCCACCGCGGCUUUCCCCCUCAUCACUCCGCUCCGCUUCUCGAGCUGUGAUCUGAUUGGCUGUUGGAGGGGUGAGGCUCACUGCAGAGGCAAGAACAGCGGGUGCAGGGUGGGGUGGGCUUCCCCCUCUAGGCACGACUCACACACACAUAACCAACCACCCACCUACACACACACACACACACACGCAGGGAAUCCCUCCUCACUGUUUGCCGCAUGUCUCGUUUUCCAUUACACGCCGCCAUCGAAUCGUUCACCGCAUAAUCACGUUGGGAAGCAGUGCGCACCAAAUGUGAUUGAGUGGUUUUGGUAAUCUGAGGUUUCUUUUUUCUUCUAAGGUUUACCAGAUUUCACCUUUUGUCAGGAGGAGUUUGAGCGUGACUCCCAGCGCUGUGUUAUUUAUAGGGGGGGUCUGGGGUCCAGAGCUGAUGGUUAUGCACGGCUCUGCCAUCACAGGGUAAGACGACACACACCGGGAGGCAGCUGUCGAGCUAAGCUUGGGUUUCACUGAUGUGUGAGAUUGGCGGUGUUUGUUUGUGACAGCAGCGAAGUUGGCAUGAGGGAGCCCCCAGUGGAUUGGGAGAGGGACGUAUUUCCAGUUCUGUGUUGUGAGGGUGUGUUUGUGUGUUGUGAAUGUUAGUAUGCGUGCGUCAGAGGGAGGAACACAGACACUGAAAGGGCACAGCGACCUUUUGUAUACUGUUAAAAUGUAUAAACAUUCUCAAUGUGAAUGUGGGAUAUUUAUACUGGUACGGACGGGUUAAUGUUUUAGGAACGAAAGGAUGCCACACAACUGUGGGUUUCUACAGUGCCAUUAUUUCAGACAAAGCUACUGAUGUAGCUAGAGAGAGUAUGUCGUGUGACAUAAAAGAUACAUCUCAUGCAAAAAGCAAAUUUAUCAAAUUAAAUGUUAAUGCGUUGUAAAAAAAAAGAAUAUAACACAACAUUAAUGUGGAUUUGUGCAUUUUGCCUUUUGGAAAG
Long non-coding RNA from Gasterosteus aculeatus aculeatus (three-spined stickleback), 1439 nucleotides. NCBI's taxonomy places the organism in Eukaryota, Metazoa, Chordata, Actinopteri, Perciformes, Gasterosteidae. The record is from Ensembl.